Molecule: ribosomal RNA, 468 nt
Filed under: uncultured bacterium
Lineage: Bacteria
Description: partial 16S ribosomal RNA
Rfam family: Bacterial small subunit ribosomal RNA
Source: RNAcentral
GACGAACGCUGGCGGCGUGCUUAACACAUGCAAGUCGUACGGAAAGGCCCUGCUUUGGUGGGGUGCUCGAGUGGCGAACGGGUGAGUAACACGUGAGUAGCCUGCCCUUGACUUUGGGAGAACUUCAAGUAACUGGGGCUAAUACCGGAUAGGAGCUCCGGCUGCAUGGUGGGGGUUGGAAAGUUUCGGCGGUGGGGGAUGGACUCGCGGCUUAUCAGCUUGUUGGUGGGGUAGUGGCUUACCAAGGCUUUGACGGGUAGCCGGCCUGAGAGGGUGACCGGCCACAUUGGGACUGAGAUACGGCCCAGCCCCCUCCGGGAGGAAGCAGUGGGGAAUAUUGCACAAUGGGCGGAAGCCUGAUGCAGCAACGCCGCGUGCGGGAUGACAGCCUUCGGGUUGUAACCCGCUUUCGCCUGUGACGAAGCGUGAGUGACGGUAAUGGGUAAAGAAGCACCGGCUAACUACGUG